RNAcentral lists this small RNA (165 nucleotides) under Chrysemys picta bellii (western painted turtle). RNAcentral's name for it is "TUC338 (ENSCPBG00000023868.1)". The record is from RNAcentral. Lineage: Eukaryota; Metazoa; Chordata; Testudines; Emydidae.
AACACAGUCCUGGAGCUCUAAGUCCUCUGUUAUCCCUGGAACAGAUACAAUAUGGGUAGCAGCAGUUCAAGUUUCCUCACACUGCCACAUCACUAUGUCUCAACCCUGACCUUGGAGGGACCAUCUCUAGGGUUGAGUUCCGUUUCUUUGUUCAUUCAGGCUAAA